Molecule: long non-coding RNA, 495 nt
Filed under: Gossypium barbadense (sea-island cotton)
Lineage: Eukaryota; Viridiplantae; Streptophyta; Magnoliopsida; Malvales; Malvaceae
Description: long non-coding RNA (GBAR_LNC022571)
Source: RNAcentral
UGAUAAAACUAGAUUACACAUAAAUAAGUAGAACAUAAAUUCAAUAUCCAAAAAACACACAUAAAUAACUAUCGAUAAAACUAGUUUAGCAUUGUUGUUUAGUCACAUAAUAGAUAUCUCUAAACCCUAGAAGAUCAUAAAAUUUUCAACUAUCCUCCAUUUCCGUCUUAAGCCACAAAGCUCUAAUCUUGGGAUUAAUUGAUAAAAACAUAAUUCACUUGUCCUUAUUGAGCAAUAAUUUAAGUGCGAAAAAGUAUAGCGGACUAGCUUCUGGAACUUCUUCUGACAUGCUGUCAAGCACUUUGACUGCUUGUGGAAUACCAUAUGGAUCCAUAACAAGAGUCAAACUAGAUGUGGCUUGACUCACAUUAUUAGCUGCAUUGUAUAAUUUUUCUAUUUGAGUGGACAAUCUUGCAGCCCCUCCAAUUUGCUUUGAGGAUUUCUUUCUUUCGGUUUUAAAAUGUGAACUUGAUAUCUUAGGGUUUUUUCUUUUUU